This is a long non-coding RNA of Harpegnathos saltator (Jerdon's jumping ant), 893 nucleotides long. RefSeq lists it as uncharacterized. The transcript has 3 exons. Lineage: Eukaryota; Metazoa; Arthropoda; Insecta; Hymenoptera; Formicidae. The record is from RefSeq and is a predicted model, not a curated record.
UAUUUCAUCAUCUGUCCUCUCUUACUCAAAUAACACAGAAGAAACCAGUUUAGUAAUCGACUCCUUUUUCUACCACGAGGAAUUCAUGCGAUUCAGCGCAAUCAGCGAUUUCGCUGCAACAGCAAAGCAUUUGCUGAAAACGCACUAUCUUGCGCCAACAAUCAACUACAAUUUUUCCAAGAACAAAUUCACUCAGCAGCAACGAAACGAGUUUUUGCUCUAAGGACAAGUAAACAGUCAUGUGCAUUAAUUCGCGCCGCGAGAGGAGAAACGCUGCUCCCCCACUCUCCGGGGCCGUCAUUCCCCGCCAGUUGUCGGAGGUCUAACGCAAAAUAACGUUAAAAGAAGAAACAAGUUGGAACUAAAAUCUGACAAAAAGCAAAUUAUCUUGGGGAACAUCCGCGGACCAACGUUUUCCCAACGAUUUAUUAUUGCAUAUCUUUCUCAAUGGAAUACGAUGUGGCUACUUCGGUCAACACUGGAAACGAGCGUUUGAAGCAAUAUCUUCAUUUCGACACGAUGCCCGAACAAAAUUGACAGGGGAAAACGCGCGAAACAUGCAUUAUUCCCGUUGAGUCGGGGACUAAAAUGAAAUUAAUAAAACUCCGGUCAUUCGGCGCACGAAAAUUCCCGGGCGUCCGAUGUGAAUAGCGCGAGAAACGCGCGUGCGCCGUCCUGAUAAACCACGUUUCAGCCAUUUGCGUUCGCACGCCGCGAAUAUAAGGCAAAUUGUUAGAAGGGCGACGGAGACGCUAUCGAAGGAGAAAUGUCGCCGCGACGAAAUGACGACGACGAAAUAUCCGCAACUUCUAACCAUCGGGCGAAACUUGCGCGCGCGCGACGUAUAAAGCUUCCCUCCUUCCUCCUCCCUUCCUCCCCUCCCCUCCCCUCCC